AAUCCGUCGACUUUAGAAAUCGUGAGGGUUCAAGUCCCUCUAUC
RNAcentral lists this transfer RNA (44 nucleotides) under Poecilanthe falcata. RNAcentral describes it as "partial tRNA-Leu". Lineage: Eukaryota; Viridiplantae; Streptophyta; Magnoliopsida; Fabales; Fabaceae. RNAcentral also lists the same sequence under 10 other names. The record is from RNAcentral.